AAGCCGAUAUGCGGACUUUGGUUAUAAUAACCGGUUUUGACGGGGAUUUGAAAAUAUUAAAAAUGAUUAUAUGUUGGUAACGGUAACUGGGUGGGCGGAGUACUUUUGAACAUACCACACACUGAAUGAUUCCACUCUUUUUUGUCUUUGUUUCGUUGAAACAAUAUGUCUCCAUGACAACCAAGAAUGAGUUGAAAGGUCGGGGGGGCGGGGGGGAGAAAAAACUGUAUGAGAGUGUCACACUACAGACUGGUAAUUCCACCUUCCGUUUAUCCGUCUCCAUGGUAACCGGGGCCUUCUCUGAGCUGGGGCUGUGGCCAACAGUAGAAUAAAGACGGUGUGUCUUUUUGGCAGAUUGUUUCGUUGGUUUUCCUGCAUAUGAAGGUAUUGCAGUGAUGUCUGCGUCUCAAGAGCAGCAGGUAGAAGACACAAAACCAUGUGUGAGCCCCGGAAACCCCGUUUUCUCGUGCAUGAUGGCUCGAACGAAGCACCAGAAUCCCCUUUACAGGACCACAGCCAGUGACUACGGUCGUCAGUCGCCAACCUUUGAAAGCUCAGCGUCUUCUUUCUAUCCCAGAUCACAGAGAUUCACCAAAGACCUGGGCAGAAUCGGGAUGUACCGUGACAACACCUUCAAUACAGCCCUAGACCGAAGCCGAGUGUGUGACUAUCCCAAUUUACAACACACGAUCUAAAUACCUACUUGAUUUCAUGGAAAA
This is a long non-coding RNA of Scophthalmus maximus (turbot), 719 nucleotides long. RefSeq lists it as uncharacterized. The transcript is spliced from 2 exons. NCBI's taxonomy places the organism in Eukaryota, Metazoa, Chordata, Actinopteri, Pleuronectiformes, Scophthalmidae. The record is from RefSeq and is a predicted model, not a curated record.